AACGAACGCUGGCGGCAUGCCUAACACAUGCAAGUCGAACGAGACCUUCGGGUCUAGUGGCGCACGGGUGCGUAACGCGUGGGAACCUGCCCUUAGGUUCGGAAUAACUCCCCGACAGGGGUGCUAAUACCGGAUAAUGUCUUCGGACCAAAGAUUUAUCGCCUUUGGAUGGGCCCGCGUUGGAUUAGCUAGUUGGUAGGGUAAAAGCCUACCAAGGCGACGAUCCAUAGCUGGUCUGUGAGGAUGAUCAGCCACACUGGGACUGAGACACGGCCCAGACUCUUACGGGAGGCAGCAGUGGGGGAUAUUGGACAAUGGGCGAAAGCCUGAUCCAGCAAUGCCGCGUGAGUGAUGAAGGCCUGAGAGUUGUAAAGCUCUUUUACCCGGGAUGAUAAUGACAGUACCGAGAGAAUAAGCUCCGGCUAACUCCGUG
Molecule: ribosomal RNA, 433 nt
Filed under: uncultured bacterium
Lineage: Bacteria
Description: partial 16S ribosomal RNA
Rfam family: Bacterial small subunit ribosomal RNA
Source: RNAcentral